This is a long non-coding RNA of Zea mays, 6073 nucleotides long. RefSeq lists it as uncharacterized. The record is from RefSeq and is a predicted model, not a curated record. The transcript has 5 exons. NCBI's taxonomy places the organism in Eukaryota, Viridiplantae, Streptophyta, Magnoliopsida, Poales, Poaceae.
AUUUUUUUGGCUAGGGAAGGUCCUGGAUUGGAGCCAAGGCUCCAAGGGUCUGGAACAAAUCGCGUGAGCCCAAGGAGCGGCGGCGGCGGCGGUGCAAGAAGACGAGCCAUCCUCCCCGCCCUCCGGGGACCUCUACCUCUUCGCGAGCUUCUCUUUGCAAGAGUAGGCGAGGACGAGCCUCCCCCAUCCUGGGUGUUGGUGCCUGACUCAUUUUAUCAAGAUAUGAUGUUCACAAGAGGUUCUCCCAAAAUUUUGAUGUUAUCUAAAGCUGCUCAAAAGAAGGUUUCUCCUAAAGAUUCUACAUCAAAGAAGUGUGGAGGUGGUGUUUAGAGAGCGGCAUGGAAUUCUGAAUUGGAGAAGAGCCACGAUGAUUUGUUGUUUGAGCACAAUGUACCUCCAUAUAGGGCUCAAAAUUGCUGGAGUCCAGAUGCUUGGAACAAAAUUGUUACUAAAUUCAAUAAGCAUGAGUAUGUCACAUUCAACAAGAUUCAAAUUCAGGAGAAGGAGAGGGAAUUGAAAAGGGAUUACAAGAUGUUGAAAGAGGCUAGAAAGCAAAGUGGUGUUUCCUGGAAUGAGAAACGAUGCAUGAUUGUUGCAGAUCCACCAAUAUGGGAAAAUAUCAUAAAAGACUUGAGAGUAGACUACAAACCCUCGCAAAGUGCACACUGCGUAGGUGCGGAUGCACUCACUAAGCUAGCCUUCUCAAGUAAGGCUAUCCUAGCAUUCUUCGAGGUGAAGAUGGGCAAAUUUCUUGGUUGCUUGGUAUCAACAAAGGGUAUUGAAGCUAAUCCAAGUAAGAUAGAAGCCAUACUUCGAAUGGAGCCACCGAAGUCAAGAAAAGGUGCUCAAAGAUUGACAGGAAGGUUGGCAUCAUUGAACAGAUUCAUUUCAAGGUCAGCAGAGAGGAACUUGCCAUUCUUCGAAGUGCUGAAGUCAGCCGAAGUCUUUCAAUGGGGAUCAAAUCAGCAAAAAGCCUUCGAAGAACUGAAACAAUAUUUGAUAGAACUGACAGCCUUAACUCCACCUUCAUUAGGAACUCCAUUGAUGUUGUAUGUAGCUGCUUCCCACGCUGCGGUUAGUGCAGCACUGGUGCAAGAGAAGCAGGAGAACCAGGCAAGAAAACAAGUGUCAGUUUACUUCGUUUCCGAAGUUCUUAGUGUAUCAAAGAAAAAAUUAUACAGAGUUAGAGAAGGUACUAUAUGUUGUACUAAUUGCUUCCAGGAAGCUUCGACGUUAUUUUCAAGCAUACCACAUCAUAGUACCUUCUUCACAACCUCUCAAGGACAUAAUGAGAAAUAGAGAGGCCACAGGAAGAGUUGGAAAAUAGGCUGCAGAGCUGAACGAAUUCACUAUAGAUUUCAUCCAUAGAUCUUCGAUCCAAUCCCAAGCGUUAGCAGACUUCAUUGCUGAUUGGACGCUAGGGGCUCAGGAUGAAGAGAAAACAACCGAUGCCAAAGCCUGGACAGUAUUUUGUGAUGGGUCUUGGGGAACCUUCGGUGCAGGAGCAGCAGCUGUCUUGAUUUCACCAUCAAAAAUCAAAACCUGCUAUGCAGCAAGAUUGGACUUCAAUUGCACAAAUAAUAUCGCAGAGUAUGAAGCCCUUAUCUUGGGGCUCCGAAAGCUUAAGGCAAUGGGAAUAAGAAGGGCUAUACUUAAAUCUGACUCACAGGUCAUCUCAGGUCACGUUGACAAAAGCAGCAAAGCAAGAGACCCGAAGCUAGAAAAUAUAUGGAUGCAGUCCGAAGGAUGGAAGCCUCUUUCGAAGGUUUUUCUGUAAAAAAUAUCCCGAGAGGAGAAAAGGAGCAUGCAGAUUUGCUAGCAAAAUCAGUGGUACAGGGGUUUUCGUUACCUUUGGAAGUAUUCUUCGAAACAAUAAAAGCACCUUCGGUCGAGCUCAUGGAAAGGGCGGUGCUCAAAAUUUCACUAGUACAUAGUGAAGAUUGGAGGACUGAGACUAUAUAUUUCCUCCAAGGCAAUUGUCUUUCAGAUGACGAAGUUUACAAUAAAAGAAUGGAAGCAAGAACAAGACCAUAUGUAAUCAUAGAGGGGAAGUUAUAUAAACAUGGAGUUUGCUCUCCAUUACUCAAGUGCUUGUCCAAAGCCGAAGGUCAAGAAUUGAUGAAGGAAAUACAUGCAGAAUUAUGUGGGGCUCAUAUUGGAUCUAGGCCUUUGCUGGGGAAGGUUUUUAGACAAGGAUUUUACUGGCCGAAGGCAGCUUCAGAUGCAACAGAUUUGGUUCAAAAUUGUGAAAAUUGCCAAAGAUGCGCUAGAGACCAGAAACAACCUUCGUCUCUAACCCAGCUAAUACAGCCAACUUGGCCACUGUAAAGGUGGGGUCUGGAUUUGUUAGGUCAACUUCCACCAGCACAAGGAAACUUGAAAUAUGUUGUCAUAGCAGUGGAAUAUUUCUCUAAGUGGAUCGAUGCAAAGCCCUUAGCUACAAUAACUUCGGCCACAAUACAGAAAUUCUUUUGGCAAAAUAUUGUUUGUCGCUUCGGCGCGCCGAAGGCAAUAACCGUUGAUAUCGGAACUCAGUUCAAUGCUAAAACAUUCAAAACAUUUUGUAGCCAGAUUGGUACAAAAAUACAUUUCGCAUCAGUGAGGCAUCCAGAGUCAAAUGGACUGGUAGAAAGAGCAAACAGAAUCAUAACAAUAGGAAUAAUGAAGUCAAUCUUCAACCAACCCAAAGGAAAGUGGCCAGACGAAUUAAUAAAAGUGCUGUGGAACCACAACACUGCUGUAUCAAGGUCAACAGGAUUUACCCCGUUCAAGCUUCUGUUUGGUGACGAAGCAAUAACACUGGAAGAAGCAAGAACGGGUUCAAUAAGAACCUUAGCUUCGACAGAGGAUGAAGGUGAUUGCCAAAUAACAAGAGACACCAUAGAAGGGACUAGACUGCAAGCAAUAGAACACAUCAAUAAGUAUCAGGCUGAAACAAUCAAAUGGUGUGAUAGAAAGGUAAAAUUGAAGAAUAUUAAGCCAGGACAUUUGGUGCUUUGUAGAGUGGCCAACCCUGAUACAAUGGGGAAGCUUCAGCUCAAGUGGGAAGGUCCCUUUUUGGUGGUAUCUUCGUCAAGACCUGGAUCUUACAGAUUGAAAUACAUGGAUGGCAACGACAUACCAAGGUCUUGGAAUGCGGAUGAGCUUCGACGAUAUUAUGUGGAAACAAUGAAAUUUUCUUAUUUCUUCCCUAUGGCACCCUUUUCCUUUCAAGAGGGGAGAAAGGUUUUUAAUGGGGCCAUAGGUUGUAAUUUUCAUUUUUUGUUUAGCCCUAUGCAAUACAAGGGCCAAAUUCCCCCACAUGUAAAAUGUAACAUCAGGGACCACACCAUCGAGUGCAAGAGGCCAUGGAGAAGCUCAAAAGUCGUCCCUAAGGGGAUGCAGAGCUAAAAUGCCACCUAAGAGGUGAAGAAGCUACAGAGCUGUUCCUAAAGGGACGCAGAGUAAGUUACGAAGCUCCAAAGUCAUUCAUUAGGGGAUGCAGAUCUUAAAUACCACCUAAGUAAAAGGUGAAGAAGCUCCAAAGUCGUUCCCAAGGGAAUGCAGAUCUUAAAUACCACCUAAGUAAAAGGUGAAGAGACUCAAAAGUCGUUCCUAAGGGGAUGCAGAGUCUAGGUGUGUUUUUGGCAUACAUUUGCAUAUUUCAUCACAUCAUCCUUCGCAUUCAUAUGAACAUACAUUAGACAUUUGUAGGCUCAUCAUCAUGGCAUAAAGCAUAGACAUUAACAGGAAAAACAGGAAAUGCUUGUCCUUGAUGAGAAAAUACUUCGUUGCAUACGAAGAUGCUUCGUCUUCAAUGAAAAAUGCUUUGAUGUGAACAAAAAGAAGAGAAGGUGUUUUUCGCCUUCGGCUCAAAAGACUACAAGCAUUGGUUUCGUCCACAACAAAGCAGCCCACACAUGAGCGAAAGGUAAAAUGCUAUUACAAGGUAUUAACAAAUAUUUACAAUAAUUUGUCUAGCUGUCAAUUACAAUUUUUUGUCAUAUGAUACAAAGAGUUUCUAAGUCCUUCUACAGAUAAAUACAAAAGGAGAUUCUAGGGUUUUCAGUAUUUCAGAACAAGCUUCGGCUUAGCGAUCUUCAGUGCCAUCAUUCUGCACAAAAACAAGGUAUAAGGUAAUCGGAAAUUUAAUAAGGAAAAAUCAAGGUAAAAGGACAAAGGCAAAGUUUUAUACUGAGUGAAGCAGCUUUCGUGUUUCAUCCCUGGCCAAUUCACACCCGCCCUUUGCCCAAAUUUGGGUAAUAAACCUAUUUCCUAUACUUCGAGCCUCGGUCGGAACGUCAACCAAAUCCAAUGAUGAAAGAUUGAAGUUUAGCUUAUUGACAGCUCUCGCGUGAUUGCACCCGGCCUUCAUGAAUGCUGCAGUUGUGCCGCAUGAAGCCACCAGAACACAGAAAUAUCUGUGCCCAGUUAUAACUUCAUCAAGGGCCUCAACUUCAUUCUCGAUAUGCUCGAAGGCCCCGGGGAUAUCUUCAGUAGAAGGGGUGAUUUCUUCAGAAGUGGCUCCAACUGUGUUAAAUAUCCCCUUCAAUCGAGUAAUACAUCGAGUGACAAAGCCAGAGCAUUUAUCCUGAAGGUUCUUAACAGUUUCACUUAGCUUCGCAUUCUUUUCAGCUUCGGCUUUGACCUUUGCUUUAAGUUCCUUCGUUUCGUGGUCAAAGCGCUCUGAUCUCUCGUUCAAGGUUGCUCGAGCUUUGUCUAGCUCUCCGCUCAGCUUAUCAUUCUGAGACCGCGUUUCCACGAGAGAGCCUUCGGUUGAUUGCAGCAGGCUGUCUUUUUCUUUUAAAGAAUCUUCAAGUUUCUUAAUUUUAUCUUCUAAGCCUUCAAUAAUAUCUUUGUUUUUUCUAUCUUUGGUAUCCUGCUGCAUUUUCAAGGCUUUGCUUAAUAACAUACUAUGCAAAACAAGUUAAAAUUAGAAUACUCAAACCAUUACGAAGGUAAUAUUAAAAAGUUUAGAGAAAAACCUCACCUUGAAAUUGGAAUAAAACAAACUACCGACAAUAUGUUGCCGCCUGUAGCAGCUAAUGUCAGUCUCCAAAUUUGGGAAUCCAACACUCUUGGAUAAGGUGCCUACAAUCUUCGCCCCGGCGCGGUCGCGAAUGCAUCCCAAGAUUUCUUCAUCGACCCCACCGAAGAGUAUGGUUGGUAACCACAAGACAUAGCAAAUUCUUUUAACUCUGACUUAUCUUCCUUAGAAAGUUCCUGGCCACCCAAGUGCCGAAGGUCAAAAUCUUUCUUUUCCAAAAGAACAUCUUCAAUUUUCUUUCCUUUAUCAGGCACUACGGCCAUGCUUUUCUCCGCAACCACAUCUGAUAUAAGUUUGUCAAUUUCUGACAUUAUGGUUGCGAAUUCUUUAGCUUCGACUUUGCUAGCAUCUUCAGCGUCGGCAGGAAUCGCUGCUUUCACCACCGAAGCUGAAGGCGACGUUUGCUUGCUCAAUCGCUUGCAUUAAUUCACAAUCCGCUGUUUCUUCUGCCCUCCAACCUUCUCCUCCGUAGCCGAAGGCGCUUCCUUCUUCUGUAAAAGGUUGGUCAGUUCCGAUCUCAUAGGACUUAUCAGCUUGAAUGGUGGGUGAUGAGGACAUCACUACCAUGGAUACAAACAACACUCCCCUAGUUGAUGUUCAAGGUCCGAUUACUCGCACACGCGCAAGACUAUUGAAUUUGCAGGUGAGCUCGUUCCUAUGUACUUAUUCUUGUGCAUUUGAGAAUAGUGUGCUACCUAAUGAAUUAAUUGUACUUAGGAAUGAAGGAAAGGACCAGCAAGGACAUGGUGAAGGACUUGGAGGCGUGGAAGGCCAGCAAGGACGUUCGGAUCAAGGUGGAGGACCAAACUGACGUCCGUAAUCUGUCUCGGUGCUGCGACACCGUAAUUGGCCUUUGGGCCGUGUAUCUUUGUUGGGCCCAUUAGGGUGCGUCCAGGGAGGGGUCACGCUCCUAACCCUUAUAUAAUCAGUAGCCGCCACCACAUUAGGGGCGGGUUUUUCUUAAGUUAGAUCUGUUAAGAACAGUCGUCGUAGAUCGGUUUGUGAGACCCCAACUUGUGAGCUUAAUCAUUCAUCCGCAAUAUUCUA